Molecule: ribosomal RNA, 465 nt
Filed under: uncultured bacterium
Lineage: Bacteria
Description: partial 16S ribosomal RNA
Rfam family: Bacterial small subunit ribosomal RNA
Source: RNAcentral
GACGAACGCUGGCGGCGUGCUUAACACAUGCAAGUCGAACGGAAAGGCCCUGCUUGCAGGGUACUCGAGUGGCGAACGGGUGAGUAACACGUGGGUGAUCUGCCCUGCACUUCGGGAUAAGCCUGGGAAACUGGGUCUAAUACCGGAUAGGAGCCAUUUUUAGUGUGAUGGUUGGAAAGUUUUUUCGGUGUAGGAUGAGCUCGCGGCCUAUCAGCUUGUUGGUGGGGUAAUGGCCUACCAAGGCGGCGACGGGUAGCCGGCCUGAGAGGGUGGACGGCCACAUUGGGACUGAGAGACGGCCCAGACUCCUACGGGAGGCAGCAGUGGGGAAUAUUGCACAAGGGGCGCAAGCCUGAUGCAGCGACGCCGCGUGGGGGAUGACGGCCUUCGGGUUGUAAACUCCUUUCGCUAGGGACGAAGCUUUUUGUGACGGUACCUAGAGAAGAAGCACCGGCUAACUACGUG